This 303-nucleotide ribosomal RNA is filed under the name uncultured bacterium. RNAcentral's name for it is "partial 16S ribosomal RNA". It matches the Rfam family "Bacterial small subunit ribosomal RNA", at positions 507 to 808 of the family's 1533-position model. The record is from RNAcentral.
AGCAGCAGCCGCGGGAAUACGUAGGUCCCGAGCGUUGUCCGGAUUUAUUGGGCGUAAAGCGAGCGCAGGCGGUUUGAUAAGUCUGAAGUUAAAGGCUGUGGCUCAACCAUAGUUCGCUUUGGAAACUGUCAAACUUGAGUGCAGAAGGGGAGAGUGGAAUUCCAUGUGUAGCGGUGAAAUGCGUAGAUAUAUGGAGGAACACCGGUGGCGAAAGCGGCUCUCUGGUCUGUAACUGACGCUGAGGCUCGAAAGCGUGGGGAGCGAACAGGAUUAGAUACCCCCGUAGUCCCUGUCUCUUAUACA